GGUUAGAGCGCGCGCUUGAUAAGCGUGAGGUCGGAAGUUCAAGUCUUCCCAGGCCCACCACACUCAUCGAGUGAGCAUUCGUCUUCUGGUUACGGGGCCAUAGCUCAGCUGGGAGAGCGCGUGCUUUGCAAGCAUGAGGUCGUCGGUUCGAUCCCGUCUGGCUCCACCAGAUGGUUUGAUCACCGACUACUCGUACCGUCGUCCGCGAAACAUCACUUCGCACUUACUAGUCCGGAUGGACAGUAAGCUGCGUGAUUUCUGACAUCGUAAAGAGGAGAUCGAUCCGAGUUGGAUCGGGCAACAAGUAAUUGUUGCGCGAUACUUCAUUAUCUCCGGAUCAUUUCGGCGCUCGUGCGUCUUCCAGGGUAGCUCACAAGGCUGCGUCUGAAGGACACGCGAGUUGUAAAUGAUCCUUUUAGCGAAGCUUGACCGCCUCGCUAUCGGAACGAUCUUACGAAGCAAGCUGGUCUUUCUAAUCAUUGUCCGGCUGCAGAUAGCGUUCAUCGAGGGCGCGUGCCUUAGAGACUUAGGUUUCUUGGCAAUUCUGCAGACAACAUUCUGCCGAGUGUGUGGACAUUGAUAAUGAGAGCAAUCAAGUGCCUUAAGGGUGUUCGGUGGAUGCCUUGGCGCUGAGAGGCGAUGAAGGACGUGCUACGCUGCGAUAAGCCGUGGGGAGCUGCGAAGAAGCUUUGAUCCAUGGAUUUCC
Molecule: unclassified non-coding RNA, 706 nt
Filed under: Bradyrhizobium sp.
Lineage: Bacteria; Pseudomonadati; Pseudomonadota; Alphaproteobacteria; Hyphomicrobiales; Nitrobacteraceae
Description: partial 16S-23S ribosomal RNA intergenic spacer region
Rfam family: Bacterial large subunit ribosomal RNA (bases 591-706)
Source: RNAcentral